RNAcentral lists this ribosomal RNA (253 nucleotides) under uncultured bacterium. RNAcentral describes it as "partial 16S ribosomal RNA". It matches the Rfam family "Bacterial small subunit ribosomal RNA", at positions 524 to 776 of the family's 1533-position model. The record is from RNAcentral.
UACAUGGGGUGCAAACGUUGCUCGGAAUUAUUGGGCGUAAAGCGUCCGCAGGUGGCACCUCAAGUCUGCUGUCAAAGACCGGGGCUUAACCCCAGAAAGGCAGUGGAAACUGAAGUGCUAGAGUGCAGUAGGGGUAGAGGGAAUUCCCGGUGUAGCGGUGAAAUGCGUAGAGAUCGGGAAGAACAUCGGUGGCGAAAGCGAUCUGCUGGACUGCAACUGACACUCAGGGACGAAAGCUAGGGGAGCGAAUGGG